GUAGGUGGCAAGCGUUGUCCGGAAUUAUUGGGCGUAAAGCGCGCGCAGGCGGUCCUUUAAGUCUGAUGUGAAAGCCCACGGCUCAACCGUGGAGGGUCAUUGGAAACUGGGGGACUUGAGUACAGAAGAGGAAAGCGGAAUUCCAAGUGUAGCGGUGAAAUGCGUAGAGAUUUGGAGGAACACCAGUGGCGAAGGCGGCUUUCUGGUCUGUAACUGACGCUGAGGCGCGAAAGCGUGGGGAGCAAACAGGAUUAGAUACCCUGGUAGUCCACGCCGUAAACGAUGAGUGCUAAGUGUUAGGGGUUUCCCGCCCCCCUUAGUGCUGCAGCUAACGCAUUAAGCACUCCGCCUGGGGGAGUACGGCCGCAAGGCUG
This 374-nucleotide ribosomal RNA is filed under the name uncultured organism. RNAcentral describes it as "partial 16S ribosomal RNA". It matches the Rfam family "Bacterial small subunit ribosomal RNA", at positions 527 to 896 of the family's 1533-position model. The record is from RNAcentral.